Molecule: ribosomal RNA, 253 nt
Filed under: uncultured bacterium
Lineage: Bacteria
Description: partial 16S ribosomal RNA
Rfam family: Bacterial small subunit ribosomal RNA
Source: RNAcentral
UACGGAGGGGGCAAGCGUUGUUCGGAGUCACUGGGCGUAAAGGGCGCGUAGGCGGUGCAUCAAGUCAGGCGUGAAAGCCCCGGGCUUAACCUGGGAAUUGCGCUUGAUACUGAUGCGCUAGAGCGCGGGAGAGGAUGGCGGAAUUCCCAGUGUAGAGGUGAAAUUCGUAGAUAUUCGGAAGAACACCAGUGGCGAAGGCGGCAUACUGGCCCAUUACUGACGCUGAGGCUCGAAAGCGUGGGGAGCAAACAGG